GGUUGAUCCUGCCAGUAAUAUAUGCUUGUAUCAAAGAUUAAGCCAUGCAUGUCUAAGUAUAAGCAACUAUACAGUGAAACUGCGAAUGGCUCAUUAAAUCAGUUAUCGUUUAUUUGAUAGUACUACUACAUGGAUAACCGUGGUAAUUCUAGAGCUAAUACAUGCACAAACCUCUUCUGAGGUGUAUUUAUUAGAUAAAAACCAACCUCGUCUUGGUGAUUCAUAAUAACUUGUCGAAGCGCACGCCUUGUGCAGGCGCUGGUUCAUUCAAAUUUCUGCCCUAUCAACUUUCG
RNAcentral lists this ribosomal RNA (293 nucleotides) under uncultured eukaryote. RNAcentral describes it as "partial 18S ribosomal RNA". It matches the Rfam family "Eukaryotic small subunit ribosomal RNA", at positions 6 to 324 of the family's 1831-position model. The record is from RNAcentral.